RNAcentral lists this ribosomal RNA (498 nucleotides) under uncultured bacterium. RNAcentral's name for it is "partial 16S ribosomal RNA". It matches the Rfam family "Bacterial small subunit ribosomal RNA", at positions 30 to 523 of the family's 1533-position model. The record is from RNAcentral.
AUUGAACGCUGGCGGCAUGCCUUACACAUGCAAGUCGAACGGUAACAGGUCUUCGGAUGCUGACGAGUGGCGAACGGGUGAGUAAUACAUCGGAACGUGCCUAGUAGUGGGGGAUAACUACUCGAAAGAGUGGCUAAUACCGCAUGAGAUCUACGGAUGAAAGCAGGGGAUCGCAAGACCUUGUGCUACUAGAGCGGCCGAUGGCAGAUUAGGUAGUUGGUGGGAUAAAAGCUUACCAAGCCGACGAUCUGUAGCUGGUCUGAGAGGACGAUCAGCCACACUGGGACUGAGACACGGCCCAGACUCCUACGGGAGGCAGCAGUGGGGAAUUUUGGACAAUGGGCGCAAGCCUGAUCCAGCAAUGCCGCGUGCAGGAUGAAGGCCUUCGGGUUGUAAACUGCUUUUGUACGGAACGAAAAGCCCUGGGUUAAUACCCUGGGGUCAUGACGGUACCGUAAGAAUAAGCACCGGCUAACUACGUGCCAGCAGCCGCGGUAA